Molecule: ribosomal RNA, 254 nt
Filed under: uncultured bacterium
Lineage: Bacteria
Description: partial 16S ribosomal RNA
Rfam family: Bacterial small subunit ribosomal RNA
Source: RNAcentral
UACGUAGGGAGCGAGCGUUGUCCGGAUUUAUUGGGCGUAAAGAGCUCGUAGGCGGUUUGGCAAGUCGGAUGUGAAAGCUCCGGGCUCAACCCGGAGACGCCAUUCGAUACUGCCAUGACUAGAGUCCGGAAGAGGAGAGUGGAAUUCCUGGUGUAGCGGUGAAAUGCGCAGAUAUCAGGAAGAACACCCGUGGCUAAGGCGGCUCUCUAGUACGGUACUGACGCUGAGACGCGAAAGCGUGGGGAGCGAACAGG